CACUUUCNCCCACACCNCCCUUCCCUUAUGUUUGGAUCAUGGGCUCAGAACGAACGCUGGCCGGCACUGCCUAUUCCUGACAAGCUCGAAGACGGACCGNAAGGGAGCUUGCUCCUUUACGUUAGACGGCGGAACGGGUGAGUAACACGUGGGCAACCUGCCCUGCAGCACUGGGNAUAACUUCGGGAAACCGGAGCUAAUACNGGAUAACACCGAAAACCGCAUGGNUUUUCGGUUGAAAGGCGGCUUUUAGCUGUCACUGCAAGAUGGGCCCGCGGCGCAUUAGCUAGUUGGUGAGGUAACGGCUCACCAAGGCGACGAUGCGUAGCCGACCUGAGAGGGUGACCGGCCACACUGGGGACUGAGANACGGCCCAGACUCCUACGGGAGGCAGCAGUAGGGAAUCUUCCGCAAUGGACGAAAGUCUGACGGAGCAACGCCGCGUGAGCGAANAAGGUCUUCGGAUCGUAAAGCUCUGUUGUCAGGGAAGAACAUGUACCGUUCGAACAGGGCGGUACCUUGACGGUACCUGAUGAGGAAGCCNCGGGCUAACUACGUGGCCAGCCAGCCGCGGUAAUACGUACGUGGCAAGCGUUGUCCAGGAAAUUAUUGGGCGUAANCCGCGCGCAAGCGNUUCCUAAAGUCGGAAGUGAAAACUUCGCGGCUNGACCGCGAAGCGGCCAUUUGUAAACUGGGGNCACUUUGACCUGCA
This 712-nucleotide ribosomal RNA is filed under the name uncultured bacterium. RNAcentral's name for it is "bacterial SSU rRNA". It matches the Rfam family "Bacterial small subunit ribosomal RNA", at positions 1 to 653 of the family's 1533-position model. The record is from RNAcentral.